GUCGAGCGAAGCACUUUUUUAGAACUCUUCGGAGGGAAGAGAGGGUGACUUAGCGGCGGACGGGUGAGUAACGCGUGGGCAACCUGCCUUACACAGGGGGAUAACAAUUAGAAAUGAUUGCUAAUACCGCAUAAGACCCCAGUACCGCAUGGUACAGGGGUAAAAACUGAGGUGGUGUAAGAUGGGCCCGCGUCUGAUUAGGUAGUUGGUGGGGUAGAAGCCUACCAAGCCGACGAUCAGUAGCCGACCUGAGAGGGCGACCGGCCACAUUGGGACUGAGACACGGCCCAAACUCCUACGGGAGGCAGCAGUGGGGAAUAUUGCACAAUGGGGGAAACCCUGAUGCAGCGACGCCGCGUGAGUGAGGAAGUAUUUCGGUAUGUAAAGCUCUAUCAGCAGGGAAGAAAAUGACGGUACCUGACUAAGAAGCCCCGGCUAACUACGUGCCAGCAGCCGCGGUAAUACGUAGGGGGCAAGCGUUAUCCGGAUUUACUGGGUGUAAAGGGAGCGUAGACGGAAUUGCAAGUCUGAUGUGAAAAUCCGGGGCCCAACCCCGGAACUGCAUUGGAAACUGUAUUUCUAGAGUGUCGGAGAGGCAAGUGGAAUUCCUGGUGUAGCGGUGAAAUGCGUAGAUAUCAGGAGGAACACCAGUGGCGAAGGCGGCUUGCUGGACGAUGACUGACGUUGAGGCUCGAAAGCGUGGGGAGCAAACAGGAUUAGAUACCCUGGUAGUCCACGCUGUAAACGAUGGAUACUAGGUGUGCGGGGACUGACCCCCUGCGUGCCGCAGCUAACGCAAUAAGUAUCCCA
RNAcentral lists this ribosomal RNA (810 nucleotides) under uncultured bacterium. RNAcentral describes it as "bacterial SSU rRNA". It matches the Rfam family "Bacterial small subunit ribosomal RNA", at positions 61 to 871 of the family's 1533-position model. The record is from RNAcentral.